AGUGAGAUAGCUGGGUCAAAUGGUGGUUCCAUUCCAAGUUUUCAGAGGAAUCUUCAUACUACUUUACAUAGUGGAUGUACCAAUUUGCAGUGCCAUCCGCAAU
Molecule: microRNA precursor, 103 nt
Filed under: Marmota monax (woodchuck)
Lineage: Eukaryota; Metazoa; Chordata; Mammalia; Rodentia; Sciuridae
Source: RNAcentral